UUGGAGGAAGCCAAAUUGGUAGAGAAGUUAUUUUUGGAACUCAAGCUGAGAGGGAGGAGAAACUUAACUCUCCACGAUUUAUGGCUCUUAAAGCUGGGAGAUCUAAGAGAAUCAGAGCAGCAAGAAUUUGGCAUGCAAGCCAAGAUGCUUCGGAAUCUUCUCAAAUUCACUAUGGCUAUGCUCGGAAUAAGCGUAAACGAAAGCAUACAAUCAAAGAUAGUUGUCGUGAUCCAAGUCUUUUCCAAGCUCCACAAUGUCGUAUUUGCCAUUAUACACUGAGUAUGCUCAUUGCUUUCUUUUCUAAAGUUUGUUUUUCUAGUAUCUUGCAGGUGUUUGCAUUUGGUCCACGGUUUUCGUAGUGGGUGUGUUAAUUUCAAGCUUGCUGGGUGGAUCUUUUCUUUUGGUUUUGUCUUCUGAUGGGCUAGUUGGGGAGUAAUGUCUAUGUAUUUUCUUUUGUUUAGG
This 462-nucleotide long non-coding RNA is filed under the name Actinidia chinensis (golden kiwifruit). Its description in RNAcentral is "long non-coding RNA (ACHI_LNC007333)". The record is from RNAcentral. Lineage: Eukaryota; Viridiplantae; Streptophyta; Magnoliopsida; Ericales; Actinidiaceae.